CACCGCGGUUAUACGAGGGGCCCAAGUUGAUAAACGCCGGCGUAAAAUGUGGUUAAUAUACUAUUGCACUAAAGCCAAACAUCUUCAAAGAUGUUAUACCCAUAUGAAGACAGGAAGCACUUCCACGAAAGUGGCUUUAAAUAAUAUUAUCCACGAAAGCUAGGAGA
RNAcentral lists this ribosomal RNA (167 nucleotides) under Chaenogobius annularis (forktongue goby). RNAcentral describes it as "partial 12S ribosomal RNA". The record is from RNAcentral. Lineage: Eukaryota; Metazoa; Chordata; Actinopteri; Gobiiformes; Gobiidae.